GGAAAUGUGCCCGAAAGAUAAGGACCUCUUUGAUGGGGAGGUUAAUAGAGGUUCAAACCCUCUCAUUUCCU
This 71-nucleotide transfer RNA is filed under the name Ptychadena mascareniensis (Masarene ridged frog). Its description in RNAcentral is "tRNA-Ile". It matches the Rfam family "tRNA". Rfam says of the family: Transfer RNA (tRNA) molecules are approximately 80 nucleotides in length. The record is from RNAcentral. Lineage: Eukaryota; Metazoa; Chordata; Amphibia; Anura; Ptychadenidae.